This 789-nucleotide ribosomal RNA is filed under the name Synotaxus sp. MS90. Its description in RNAcentral is "SSU rRNA". It matches the Rfam family "Eukaryotic small subunit ribosomal RNA", at positions 964 to 1770 of the family's 1831-position model. The record is from RNAcentral. Lineage: Eukaryota; Metazoa; Arthropoda; Arachnida; Araneae; Synotaxidae.
UGUUUCCCAUUAAUCAAGAACGAAAGUUAGAGGAUCGAAGGCGAUCAGAUACCGCCCUAGUUCUAACCAUAAACGAUGCCAGCCAGCGAUCCGGCUGCGUUCCUCAAAUGACGCGCCGGGCAGCUUCCGGGAAACCAAAGCUUUUGGGCUCCGGGGGAAGUAUGGUUGCAAAGCUGAAACUUAAAGGAAUUGACGGAAGGGCACCACCAGGAAUGGAGCUUGCGGCUUAAUUUGACUCAACACGGGGCAACCCACCCGGCCCGGACACAGGAAGGAUUGACAGAUUAAGAGCUCUUUCUUGAUUCUGUGAGUGGUGGUGCAUGGCCGUUCUUAGUUGGUGGAGCGAUUUGUCUGGUUUAUUCCGAUAACGAACGAGACUCUAGCCUACUAAAUAGACGUUUCCGAUCCUCUGAGUCGGACGUUCUUCUUAGAGGGACAAGCGGCGUUUAGCCGCACGAGACAGAGCGAUAACAGGUCAGUGAUGCCCUUCGAUGUCCGGGGCCGCACGCGUGCUACAUUGAAGGAAUCAGCGUGUGCUCUCCCUGUCCGACAGGACUGGGUAACCCGAUGAAACUCCUUCGUGCUGGGGAUAGGAGAUUGUAAUUGUUCUCCUUGAACGAGGAAUUCCCAGUAAUCGCCAAUCAUUAAUUGGUAAUGAUUAAGUCCCUGCCCUUUGUCCACACCGCCCGUCGCUACUAUCGAUUGAAUGAGCGAGUGAGGCCUUCGGACUGGCGCUCGGAUUGGCCUCCGGGUCGAGCCGACGUGCCGGAAAGAUGGCCAAACUUGAUC